AAAUUUCCGGCGUCAUGUUCAAAAAAAUGAAUCUAACCUCGCGGCACGUUGACUCGCGAUGAGCAAAAGCAGGAGGGAUAUUUUGCUGACGACGUCGUCUGCCAGUCAUAAUUAAUCCUCUUUCAUGAAAAAUCUCUGGCAAAGAUUCAGGGGGAAGAAAAGAAAUUCAUAAGUGACUGACAACGGCUUCUAGAUGGCAUUUGUUUCUAAGAGCUCUAUUAUCAAACGAGGAACUAAAACAAACGAAACGUCAUCCUAAAUUAGAAAAGAGCCGAUUGAGAUUUCGUUUCAUAAAAAGUAAGUAUCCCAAUAUGAUCACAAAAAAAUGGGCACCUAAUCGACUUCAGAUCCGAAAAAAGCCAAUAGAUAACUCGAACUCUAUUUGAGUAUAAGCGGUAAAGAGCCCGGUU
Molecule: unclassified non-coding RNA, 410 nt
Filed under: Athalia rosae (coleseed sawfly)
Lineage: Eukaryota; Metazoa; Arthropoda; Insecta; Hymenoptera; Athaliidae
Description: misc RNA ENSAEAG00005005587.1
Source: RNAcentral